ACUAGAUGGAUGGACUGCCUAAGGUAGGGAGAGUGAAAGUAUUUGCCUAUUCCCCGAGGCGUGACCGAAGACAGGUUUGCAUGGCAUCGCAUAUUAUGUGUAAUAUUCCCAAAUAAACAAAACUCGAGGAAAGCAACUUCAAAACCCACUGUGGCAGAAGAAGAGACCUACGUAUUAUGGAUUGGAUCCAGGACGCUGGUCCCACACAGAGCGUCAAUCUGAACCCUGAUUCAAUCCCUGCACAAACUGGACAAAAGCAUUCCCAAAAUCAUA
Pimephales promelas (fathead minnow) is the source of this 273-nucleotide non-coding RNA. The record is from RefSeq and is a predicted model, not a curated record. Lineage: Eukaryota; Metazoa; Chordata; Actinopteri; Cypriniformes; Leuciscidae.